Molecule: ribosomal RNA, 740 nt
Filed under: uncultured Escherichia sp.
Lineage: Bacteria; Pseudomonadati; Pseudomonadota; Gammaproteobacteria; Enterobacterales; Enterobacteriaceae
Description: bacterial SSU rRNA
Rfam family: Bacterial small subunit ribosomal RNA
Source: RNAcentral
CCCAACACAUGCAAGUCGAACGGUAACAGGAAGAAGCUUGCUUCUUUGCUGACGAGUGGCGGACGGGUGAGUAAUGUCUGGGAAACUGCCUGAUGGAGGGGGAUAACUACUGGAAACGGUAGCUAAUACCGCAUAACGUCGCAAGACCAAAAAGGGGGACCUUCGGGCCUCUUGCCAUCGGAUGUGCCCAGAUGGGAUUAGCUAGUAGGUGGGGUAACGGCUCACCUAGGCGACGAUCCCUAGCUGGUCUGAGAGGAUGACCAGCCACACUGGAACUGAGACACGGUCCAGACUCCUACGGGAGGCAGCAGUGGGGAAUAUUGCACAAUGGGCGCAAGCCUGAUGCAGCCAUGCCGCGUGUAUGAAGAAGGCCUUCGGGUUGUAAAGUACUUUCAGCGGGGAGGAAGGGAGUAAAGUUAAUACCUUUGCUCAUUGACGUUACCCGCAGAAGAAGCACCGGCUAACUCCGUGCCAGCAGCCGCGGUAAUACGGAGGGUGCAAGCGUUAAUCGGAAUUACUGGGCGUAAAGCGCACGCAGGCGGUUUGUUAAGUCAGAUGUGAAAUCCCCGGGCUCAACCUGGGAACUGCAUCUGAUACUGGCAAGCUUGAGUCUCGUAGAGGGGGGUAGAAUUCCAGGUGUAGCGGUGAAAUGCGUAGAGAUCUGGAGGAAUACCGGUGGCGAAGGCGGCCCCCUGGACGAAGACUGACGCUCAGGUGCGAAAGCGUGGGGAGCAAACAGG